UACAGAGGUCUCAAGCGUUGUUCGGAUUCAUUGGGCGUAAAGGGCGCGUAGGCGGCCAAGCAAGUCCUGGGUGAAAUCCCUCGGCUCAACCGAGGAACUGCCUCGGAAACUGCAUGGCUCGAGGCCGGGAGAGGGUAGCGGAAUUCCCAGUGUAGCGGUGAAAUGCGUAGAUAUUGGGAGGAACACCGGUGGCGAAGGCGGCCACCUGGACCGGUUCUGACGCUGAUGCGCGAAAGCGUGGGGAGCAAACAGG
This 253-nucleotide ribosomal RNA is filed under the name uncultured bacterium. RNAcentral describes it as "partial 16S ribosomal RNA". It matches the Rfam family "Bacterial small subunit ribosomal RNA", at positions 524 to 776 of the family's 1533-position model. The record is from RNAcentral.